UAAACACCGGCUCAGCAAAACUUAAGCCGGCCCUGCUGCCCCGCUCGUAGCGCGCUGGCUGCGCCGGCAGAUGCCGCCGCCUGCUGCGACCUAGCGGCGAAGCGCGCAACUACUUGGAGGGUAGGGCCGUUCCAGCCAAGACAGCUGAGAUCAUCCGCUGAUAAGGUGGGGUCAACACAUUAUGGAGGUUUGGAUUGCAGCUGUAAAGUAUAUAUUGCCCACUUAUCGCCACUUAUGCCAGCCCAAAGGAUAUAUUUCAAAUUGCAGAGUAUUGCUUUCACUACCCGUAAAUGAGUCUCCUGGACAUGCCUGUAGCAACUUUGCCAUGCGCAAACCUGAUUUUAAAUUAUUUCAAAAUACAAUUUCAUGAGUAACUACUGUUAAUAGUGUAGGAGAGCUGCUGAAAUACUAUGCCUUUCAACCCCUCUGUGUCACCUAGUGUAACUUCCUUACGGUUCCACCUGAGUUUUCAACAUUGUAUGUUCUUUUACUCAAAGAAUUUUGACAUAUUGAUAUAUCAAAGGGAAUUUGUAAUAAUGAUAAUAAAAUAAUGAAAACAU
Frankliniella occidentalis (western flower thrips) is the source of this 560-nucleotide long non-coding RNA. RefSeq lists it as uncharacterized. The transcript has 5 exons. The record is from RefSeq and is a predicted model, not a curated record. NCBI's taxonomy places the organism in Eukaryota, Metazoa, Arthropoda, Insecta, Thysanoptera, Thripidae.